GUAGAGCAGUGGUUCUCAGCCGGGAGUGACUUCAUUCCCGAGGGGACAUUUGACAAUGUCUGGAGACAUUAUUGAUUGUCACAACAGGGGAGGGAGGAAGGUGCUGCUGGCAUCCAGUGUGCAGAGGCCAGGAUGCUGCUAAAUGUGCUACGAUGCACAGGACGCCCCGUCCCCCACGAAGCAUGGUCCAGCCCAAGCGUCACCAGUGCCGAGGCAGGGACGCCGUGGUGUAGGGCGUCUAAAACCUCUUCCAGCCCCGCAAGCCUGUGGUGACUAGCCCGUGACGUCAGGGGAACCUAGGCCAGGAGGGGGAGACUCCAGGCCUCCGCCCGGAACCCCUGGAGUGUGCCCCACGCCCCACAGCCAGUCUGAACCUGGUGGGCCUGCUCUCUGUGGCCACAGACGGGAGAACAAAAUCUCCGCUCAUCAGUUGCUGUUUUUCAAACUCAAAACCCAUUUCCCUAUUGACCCACAUAAACAUUUUGGAGAUCGUUAA
Molecule: long non-coding RNA, 496 nt
Organism: Suricata suricatta (meerkat)
Lineage: Eukaryota; Metazoa; Chordata; Mammalia; Carnivora; Herpestidae
Exons: 2
Source: RefSeq, a predicted model, not a curated record